GACGAACGCUGGCGGCGUGCCUAAUACAUGCAAGUCGAGCGAAGUUUUUCUGGUGCUUGCACUAGAAAAACUUAGCGGCGCACGGGUGAGUAACACGUAAAGAACCUGCCUCAUAGACUGGGACAACUAUUGGAAACGAUAGCUAAUACCGGAUAACAGUAUUUCUCGCAUGAGAGAUAUUUAAAAGUUGGCUAUGCUAACACUAUGAGAUGGCUUUGCGGUGCAUUAGCUAGUUGGUGGGGUAAAGGCCCACCAAGGCGACGAUGCAUAGCCGACCUGAGAGGGUGAUCGGCCACACUGGGACUGAGACACGGCCCAGACUCCUACGGGAGGCAGCAGUAGGGAAUCUUCCGCAAUGGGCGAAAGCCUGACGGAGCAACGCCGCGUGAGUGAAGAAGGAUUUCGGUUCGUAAAGCUCUGUUGUUAGGGAAGAAUGGAUAUGUAGUAACUAUACAUGUAAGAGACGGUACCUAACCAGAAAGCCACGGCUAACUACGUG
RNAcentral lists this ribosomal RNA (499 nucleotides) under uncultured bacterium. RNAcentral's name for it is "partial 16S ribosomal RNA". It matches the Rfam family "Bacterial small subunit ribosomal RNA", at positions 28 to 507 of the family's 1533-position model. The record is from RNAcentral.